RNAcentral lists this ribosomal RNA (497 nucleotides) under uncultured bacterium. RNAcentral's name for it is "partial 16S ribosomal RNA". It matches the Rfam family "Bacterial small subunit ribosomal RNA", at positions 28 to 507 of the family's 1533-position model. The record is from RNAcentral.
GAUGAACGCUGGCGGCGUGCCUAAUACAUGCAAGUCGAGCGAACAGACGAGGAGCUUGCUCCUCUGACGUUAUCGGCGGACGGGUGAGUAACACGUGGAUAACCUACCUAUAAGACUGGGAUAACUUCGGGAAACCGGAGCUAAUACCGGAUAAUAUAUUGACCCGCAUGGUUCAAUAGUUAAAUACGGUUUUGCUUUCACUUAUAGAUUGAUCCGCGCCGCAUUAGCUAGUUGGUAAGGUAACGGCUUACCAAGGCAACGAUGCGUAGCCGACCUGAGAGGGUGAUCGGCCACACUGGAACUGAGACACGGUCCAGACUCCUACGGGAGGCAGCAGUAGGGAAUCUUCCGCAAUGGGCGAAAGCCUGACGGAGCAACGCCGCGUGAGUGAUGAAGGUCUUCGGAUCGUAAAACUCUGUUAUUAGGGAAGAACAAAUGUGUAAGUAACUAUGCACGUCUUGACGGUACCUAAUCAGAAAGCCACGGCUAACUACGUG